Molecule: ribosomal RNA, 279 nt
Filed under: uncultured bacterium
Lineage: Bacteria
Description: partial 16S ribosomal RNA
Rfam family: Bacterial small subunit ribosomal RNA
Source: RNAcentral
UGCCAGCAGCCGCGGUAACACGGGGGGCGCAAGCGUUAUUCGGAAUUAUUGGGCGUAAAGGGCGCGCAGGCGGCGUUGUAAGUCAGAGGUGAAAGCCCGCAGCUAAACUGUGGAACUGCCUUUGAUACUGCAGUGCUUGAAUUAGGUUGAGGUCGGCGGAAUGUGACAUGUAGCGGUGAAAUGCUUAGAUAUGUCAUAGAACACCAAUUGCGAAGGCAGCUGGCUAGACCUAUAUUGACGCUGAGGCACGAAAGCGUGGGGAGCGAACAGGAUUAGAUA